GCUUUACUGUAACCUGGAAUUGGGUUCGGCCUUUUGCGCAGACUAAGUGGGAGGCGUAGAAAUUUUCUUUCGGAAAAUGGAGCCAUUAUUGAGAGACCACUCUGGAAGAGCUAGAAUCCUAAUAGUGAUCCUUGUAUCAGGAUAAUUGACAGUUUCAGGUAGGCAGUUUCUCUGGGGCGGAGGCCUCCUAAAGGUAACGGAGGCGCGCAAAGGUUCCUCAGGCUGGACGGAAAUCAGCGAGAAUGUAAAGGUAUAAGGAGCUUGACUGCAAGACCUACAAGUCGAGCAGGGCGAAAGCCGGCCUUAGUGAUCCGACGGACCGCCG
Molecule: ribosomal RNA, 325 nt
Filed under: uncultured alga
Lineage: Eukaryota
Description: bacterial LSU rRNA
Rfam family: Bacterial large subunit ribosomal RNA
Source: RNAcentral